GUAAGUUUUCCUAUAAAUUAAAAUGACAAGCAUUUCUUAUAAUGGAGUAUGCAUGAUCCCUUCAUGUGUAGCACAGCCUGUAUACAUGACAAGCCUCCAGCUCUGUCAUUUGCAAUCCUUUGACAGGCUUUUAUUUAUUCAAUUUACUCAUCCCAGUGAUUCCUUUUGAAGUAUUUCAUUCCAGCCACAGCGGAGUCAGCCUGUGUUUGUUUUGUUAACCCUGGAAGCCAAUCUGAAUGACUUUUGUCCUAAAGUGAGACAUUGGAGCAACACAUAUCUGACUUCAUCUCUUAUCACAUGUGCCUUUAUUGUAAAGAUAAUAUUUACAAACCCCAACACUUCUGUCUGUUCUUAGUAUAUAUAAGCACGCUACAGUGAAUGGCCACAAUCCUUCACAAGACGCUCCAUUCUUUGUGCCAAAAGCACAAUAGCUGCGUUCACUGAAGGCUCUGUCACCAACGUAUUACUUGUAAAGAC
Molecule: non-coding RNA, 477 nt
Organism: Pelobates cultripes (western spadefoot toad)
Lineage: Eukaryota; Metazoa; Chordata; Amphibia; Anura; Pelobatidae
Source: the annotation of a GenBank genome assembly